AAUGUCGUAACAAGGUUUCCGUAGGUGAACCUGCGGAAGGAUCAUUACAAAUAAAGCUGGUAGGAAGUGGGGUCUUGAUCUGUAAGUGGUAGAGCGAAGCAGUCCGGCUCGCCUCCCGAAAAUGUCUUACAUGUCCCACCACCGCAUGGCAGGCAUAAUCACCAACCUUGAUUAUCUACACUUGUUGCUUUUCGGGGGAUGCUCAAGGUGCCCCGAGAGGACCCAACUCUCUUGCAUUUUAGUGACGUCUGAGUACUAUAUAAUAUUUGAAAAAG
Molecule: unclassified non-coding RNA, 275 nt
Filed under: plant metagenome
Description: partial contains small subunit ribosomal RNA and internal transcribed spacer 1
Rfam family: Eukaryotic small subunit ribosomal RNA (bases 1-47)
Source: RNAcentral